UACGAAGGGGGCUAGCGUUGCUCGGAAUCACUGGGCGUAAAGCGCACGUAGGCGGAUCUUUAAGUCAGGGGUGAAAUCCCAAGGCUCAACCUUGGAACUGCCUUUGAUACUGGGAAGCUUGAGUUCGGGAGAGGUGAGUGGAACUGCGAGUGUAGAGGUGAAAUUCGUAGAUAUUCGCAAGAACACCAGUGGCGAAGGCGACUCACUGGCCCGUUACUGACGCUGAGGCGCGAAAGCGUGGGGAGCAAACAGGG
RNAcentral lists this ribosomal RNA (254 nucleotides) under uncultured bacterium. RNAcentral describes it as "partial 16S ribosomal RNA". It matches the Rfam family "Bacterial small subunit ribosomal RNA", at positions 524 to 777 of the family's 1533-position model. The record is from RNAcentral.